UUACGGACAUAUCACGUUGAAACACCGAUUCUCAUACGAUCACCGAAGUGAAGCAACGUUGAACCUGGUUAGUACUUAGAUUAGUGACCGAUUGGGAAUACCAGGUGCUGUAAG
Acanthosepion pharaonis is the source of this 114-nucleotide non-coding RNA. The record is from the annotation of a GenBank genome assembly. Lineage: Eukaryota; Metazoa; Mollusca; Cephalopoda; Sepiida; Sepiidae.